Molecule: ribosomal RNA, 490 nt
Filed under: uncultured bacterium
Lineage: Bacteria
Description: partial 16S ribosomal RNA
Rfam family: Bacterial small subunit ribosomal RNA
Source: RNAcentral
AUUGAACGCUGGCGGCAGGCCUAGCACAUGCAAGUCGAACGGUAACAGGAAGCAGCUUGCUGCUUUGCUGACGAGUGGCGGACGGGUGAGUAAUGUCUGGGAAACUGCCCGAUGGAGGGGGAUAACUACUGGAAACGGUAGCUAAUACCGCAUAACGUCGCAAGACCAAAGAGGGGGACCUUAGGGCCUCUUGCCAUCGGAUGUGCCCAGAUGGGAUUAGCUAGUAGGUGGGGUAACGGCUCACCUAGGCGACGAUCCCUAGCUGGUCUGAGAGGAUGACCAGCCACACUGGAACUGAGACACGGUCCAGACUCCUACGGGAGGCAGCAGUGGGGAAUAUUGCACAAUGGGCGCAAGCCUGAUGCAGCCAUGCCGCGUGUAUGAAGAAGGCCUUCGGGUUGUAAAGUACUUUCAGCGGGGAGGAAGGGAGUAAAGUUAAUACCUUUGCCCAUUGACGUUACCCGCAGAAGAAGCACCGGCUAACUCCGUG